Danio rerio (zebrafish) is the source of this 115-nucleotide non-coding RNA. NCBI's taxonomy places the organism in Eukaryota, Metazoa, Chordata, Actinopteri, Cypriniformes, Danionidae. The record is from Rfam.
GCUGGCAGCUAGCUCUCUGCAACUCUCACAUGGUCGCCCACUGAAGCUAAGCAGGGCUGCGCCCGGUCAGUACCUGGAUGGGAGACCACAUGGGAAAGCUAGGUUGCUGCCGGAA